This 484-nucleotide long non-coding RNA is filed under the name Homo sapiens (human). Its description in RNAcentral is "HSALNT0294359". Lineage: Eukaryota; Metazoa; Chordata; Mammalia; Primates; Hominidae. The record is from RNAcentral.
CCAAAAUUCUGAGAUGGGGAAACUUCCUCUCUGAUCAGUUGAACUGCAAUUCCUUAAAGGAUAGGGCUGGAGUUUUUCUUCUCUGCUGGUGUUUUUCUUCUCUACUACGUGGCUCCCAAUGCAAUCAUAGAAAUGCAGGGCAAAGUGCGAUCCUCUCCCAAAAAAACUAUGUGUAUUCACGUCCAUGUCUCAACAUCAGCUUCUGAGGGAAUGCAACUUAAAACAAAGGGAUCCAUUGUGAAAAUAUAAAUUGUUUCAAAAUUUAUACAAUUUAUAUCAAUUCCUGGAUGAUAUAUGAAGGAUUAUUAAGAGGUUGCUCAAAUUCCAUGAGGACUUCUUUUGGAUAGCUUACCACAAAGAUUACAUUCUCUUUGGAGUUCAGAUACCAUACAUCAAAACACUGGAGCUUUUGCAAGUUUUCUCUCAACAGGGGAAAUAUAUCCCCUGCAAACUAAAGGCAAAGUCAAAAGAGCAGUAAACAACU